CACCAUCAGCCACACCUACUCA
This 22-nucleotide microRNA is filed under the name Torque teno virus. RNAcentral describes it as "ttv-miR-T1-3p". Its record names the gene ttv-miR-T1-3p. The record is from miRBase by way of RNAcentral. Lineage: Floreoviria; Shotokuvirae; Commensaviricota; Cardeaviricetes; Sanitavirales; Anelloviridae.